CACAUGGAGCCUGCAGGCUUGCUGAGGUCUAAAUGUUUAUUUUCUCUUUUCCCAAAAGGAUGAAAAUGUUGAUAAAGUACCCUUUGUGCUUGCCUGGGAACACAAAUAUCUUCUUGUCCUUUGAUCCUAAGAAAUGGAUGAAGAAACUCCAGGGUGAAUGCAUAGAAACUAUUUAUUCAUGUUAACAUCAAAGAUGAUGACUUCUGAAGAAUUAUGAUUCUGUCUAUAGAUGCAAUGGUAUACUCACUUGUUGGCUGUAACCUCUGAAAGCUGGUAAGAAAAUAUUUACCAAAAUAAUUAAAAUAGCUCUCUAAAACAAUUGAUAGUUUUGUAUCUUUUGAAAACAGACAGAUUUCCUGGAAUGUCUUAGAAAAAAUACUGCAAUAGCGGAUCAAUAUUAAUAUUCAUGGAAGACCCUAAAUUGCACAUCAAUCCAUCAUCAUUUCUUGUCUUUCAUAUGCUUUCUCUCUCUUUCUCUCCUCCCUUUCCCUCUCCUUCUGUCAAAACAGACACAGAAAUACACUCCACAUGACUAAAUGGUCAUUAAUUUAAAAAUAAUGUUUUGAAUAUGGAGGGCUGAAACAAUCAGAGGUACUAAGUUUU
This is a long non-coding RNA of Pan paniscus (pygmy chimpanzee), 603 nucleotides long. The record is from Ensembl. NCBI's taxonomy places the organism in Eukaryota, Metazoa, Chordata, Mammalia, Primates, Hominidae.